RNAcentral lists this long non-coding RNA (222 nucleotides) under Ananas comosus (pineapple). RNAcentral's name for it is "long non-coding RNA (ACOM_LNC035990)". The record is from RNAcentral. Lineage: Eukaryota; Viridiplantae; Streptophyta; Magnoliopsida; Poales; Bromeliaceae.
UUAUUUAAAUCCUUAAUUUAAGGAAAAACUUCAAAAAUCCUCCUGUGGUUUCGUAGUUUUUCACUUUGCCUCUCUAUGGUUUCGUUUUUAUCUUUUCGGUAGCUUUUUCGUUAAUAUUUUAUUAAAUUAUUAACAAAAAACUUCAGAUACACAUCUAGAUUUAUUAAAUAUUCACUUUAGCACCCUUUAAUUUUAACUUUAUCACUGAUUAAAAAAAAUAAU